Molecule: ribosomal RNA, 256 nt
Filed under: uncultured bacterium
Lineage: Bacteria
Description: partial 16S ribosomal RNA
Rfam family: Bacterial small subunit ribosomal RNA
Source: RNAcentral
GACGUAGGUGGCGAACGUUAUCCGGAAUUAUUGGGCGUAAAGGGUGCGUAGAUGGCUUGAUAAGUUAGCAGUGGGAAAUCGAGGCUCAACCUCGUGGAAGCUGGUAAUACUGUCAGGCUCGAGUGCAGGAGAGGUUAGCGGAACUCCAUGUAGAGCGGUAAAAUAUGUAGAUAUAUGGAAGAACACCAAUAACGGCGAAGGCAGUUAACUAUUCUGUUACUGACAUUGAGGCACGAAAGCGUGGGGAGCAAAACGG